UACAGAGGUCUCAAGCGUUGUUCGGAUUCAUUGGGCGUAAAGGGUGUGUAGGUGGCGCGCUAAGUCGGGUGUGAAAUUUCGGAGCUUAACUCCGAAACUGCAUUCGAUACUGGCGUGCUUGAGGACUGGAGAGGAGACUGGAAUUCGAUUGUGUAGCAGUGAAAUGCGUAGAGAUCAUGAGGAAGACCAGUGGCGAAGGCGGGUCUCUGGACAGUUCCUGACACUGAGACACGAAGGCCAGGGGAGCAAACGGG
This 254-nucleotide ribosomal RNA is filed under the name uncultured bacterium. RNAcentral describes it as "partial 16S ribosomal RNA". It matches the Rfam family "Bacterial small subunit ribosomal RNA", at positions 524 to 776 of the family's 1533-position model. The record is from RNAcentral.